AUAGGUCACAGAUAAAGAAUACCCAUUUAGAAGGGGGACUUGGCAUGUGAACUCUAUCAAAAUGGAGACUGGACCCAAGCCUUUGAUCCAAACUUUUUACACCAUAUUUUAUUAUUAGUUCAAAACUUUACAGAAACAAGUUGAAUUUCCAUGAGGUUCCUACGAAUAAAUGUUGUAGAUUUUAAAACUGGGCCACAAAAUAAGGGCAGGGUCAGGGGGAUAAAACAAACAAAAACAACAACAACAACAACAACAAAACAGAGAGAAAGGAAAAAAGGGAGAGGGAAAUUCAUCAAAAUAGAAGAAGGAUCAGUAAUGUAGAUGAAGAGGAUUGAGGAGAAUGAAGAGGGAGUAGAAAAGGAAAAGUACAGUGAAAUUAAUCUGACUCAACUUUCCUAUGGGCAUGCAUGGAAUGGCAAGGUGGUCCCCUGGCACUGGGUGUAUCCACAGGGACACUAAAAAAAAUAAAAAUAAAAAUAAAAAUAAAAAAAAAACUUAAAUGUAAAUGGAUUGAGGAGAGAUUGGUGGAGUAAAGUGGGGUGGUAAGAGGGAAGUGCUGGAGAUUUAAAUGGAGUGGGUUGAGUUACAUACCUUUGUGAAAAUGUCAGAGAGUAUCUUGAUGAUGUACAGAACUAAAAAGAACAAAUAAAAUAAACUGGGCCAUAUUUUCACAAGACAGGACCCAUCAGUUCUCUCUGACUGGCAGUUUCAACAUCUGGUGGAAGUUUGGGUAGAUGCUGAAUAAAAGUUGCUGGGGUAUGGCAUAUCAUGAUUCAAAAAUAAUUGUAAAUACCCAUAUGAAAAUAUGAAGGGCAGAUAAUCUCGGUCACGUUACCAAUGUCGGUGUUUCUAUCCACUUCAAGACACAGAUUCAGGGUAUUUAUUUUUGUGAGUUAGUGUAGUGUGCUUUUGUGUUUCAAGGAUAGGCAACUCCAGAAUUUCCAACUCUUUAUGUGCAAAUAGCAAGCGCUUCAUCACAGGACUGAUCCCUGAGCAUUAUCAAAGGAUAUUUGUCUUUUGGAAAGAUUAUGGACAGUUCUCCUGCCCCACUCUGAUUUGAAUGCCAAUAAUAUAGAUGCUGUUCCACUGUACAAGAUCCAGGAUUACAGCUUGGUUAGUGAUAAAAAAAAAAAUCAUCACUCAAUAUCUGAGUAAACCCACGUUUUUCAACCACAAGGGGAAUAUUUGAAAAAAAAAUCAUAGUCUGCUCAUUAUGUGUACUACAUAUUUCCAUUGCUUCUGUGUCUGAAAAAUACAUUGCAUGUCUUUUGGGGAUGAUAUUGUAGAAGAGAAGAUAGGAUAUAAUUCAUGACAGAUAGUAAAAGAACAGAAAACAAUCAGUUUAAAGUUGAUAGCACCAUAGAAACAUGAAGAAAAAGCUGAGGAUC
RNAcentral lists this long non-coding RNA (1388 nucleotides) under Marmota monax (woodchuck). Lineage: Eukaryota; Metazoa; Chordata; Mammalia; Rodentia; Sciuridae. The record is from RNAcentral.